Molecule: ribosomal RNA, 520 nt
Filed under: Cercopithecus diana (Diana monkey)
Lineage: Eukaryota; Metazoa; Chordata; Mammalia; Primates; Cercopithecidae
Description: partial 16S ribosomal RNA
Rfam family: Bacterial large subunit ribosomal RNA
Source: RNAcentral
AUUAGAGGCACUGCCUGCCCUGUGACACACGUUUAACGGCCGCGGUACCCUGACCGUGCAAAGGUAGCAUAAUCACUUGUUCUUUAAAUAGGGACUAGCAUGAAUGGCAUCACGAGGGGCUAACUGUCUCUUACUUUUAACCAGUGAAAUUGGCCUGUCCGUGAAGAGACGGACAUGAAACAAUAAGACGAGAAGACCCUGUGGAGCUUCAAUUUAUCAGUACAACUAAAAACCACGCAGACCCACAGGUCCCUAAACCCUCAUACCUGUACUAAAAAUUUUGGUUGGGGUGACCUCGGAGCACAACCAAACCUCCGAAGAAUCCAUGCUAAGACUACACAAGCCUAAGCAAACUAACACCUACAAUUGACCCAAUAAUUUGAUCAACGGAACAAGUUACCCCAGGGAUAACAGCGCAAUUCUAUUCUAGAGUCCAUAUCGACAAUAGAGUUUACGACCUCGAUGUUGGAUCAGGACAUCCUAAUGGUGCAGCAGCUAUCAAGGGUUCGUUUGUUCAACG